UUCUAUAAUCCUCUCUCUUCUCUUAUCUUAUCUGUAUCUGCAGUACUCCUUCGGAAACCUUCCGUUUCUUCUCUCUCACAACUUAAUCGCUCUCUAUGUUUCAGUCGAUUUUUUUCCUCAAUCAUAACAAUAAGUCAAUUGUGAAUCAGUAUAUGGUUUUUCUUCCUCUUAUUCUUCAAAUAGGUCUAUUAAAUUCUUACACCUAUAGUUUUGAGAUUCCUUAAACCGAAUCAGUAUGAAGAAAUCUAAGAUUCUGGAGAGAUUUCUCUAUUUCACGAGGUUGGUUUGUAUUGAAAAGGGUUUUGAAUGAACGUCUUCAACAACUUCUAAGUUUGUGUUGCCGGGCUCUGAUUUCCUGCUGACUUAUUGGAUCACUCUUCUAUUCAGCGAGAACCACCUGUGAGUGACGAUUCUGUUGCUUGCAUCAGUGGAUGUAAGCAUAUGUCAGAGGUAGUGAAUUGAGAUCUUGGACUAAGUUCAGAGCUGAAGGCUAGAACAUAAGGAUUUGUGGAUAUAGACCAAGAAGGAAGCACAAGAGGAGGGAAUUACUUGCACCUGGUUAAUCUAGUUCCGUGGAAAGUAUUUUGGAAUACCCCAUUAUGACAUUUAAUGUUGUUGACUUUGGAAUUUGGGAAGGUUCAAUAAUAGUCGUGGCCGACGAAGCUGGUGAUUUGCCAUACUUGGGAAGAUUUUCUCAUAGUCAUAUCUUCUUUUUAGAUUAUCGUUGUGCGUAACUACUUGAUAUAAAUUUCAAAAAAUAUUUUCAUGUCUUUUCUUGUCAAAUUCUUGAUACAGGGGUUGAUCAAUGUUCCCUAUGUGUUAAUAGAGAAAGUUUUGCUUUAAUCUCUAAUAGCCCAACCUAGAAAAUCUGGAACAACUUUGAGUUUUGAUUUUGAUAUCAUCAGUCUAACAGUCUUGGUCAGAUUUAUGUUUAGAAACUGUAGAAUAUUACAGGACUGUUGUUAUGGAUUCCUUCUAUAUAGGUUUCAAUUAAUGAUGACAAACAUUGUAGCUAAGAAGUGGCAUCCGUUAAAUUUGGUGUAUACAUAUUUUCAUCCAUCAAUUCCUAGUCCAGUCACCUGUAAAUAGUAGAUUUUUACUGAAAUCCGUUAGAGAAAUAUUAACACUUCUCAGCUUUGCCCGUUACUGUGCCAAUAACUUGCUAAUGGAACUGUAUCAUGCAGUUCAGAUUACGAAGUUUUCAAAUUUUUUGGGUCUGAUGUGCUAGAGCAUUGUAAUAAGAGAAAACUGACUGUAUAUCUUUGAGGAAGUGUACUGCAGAUAGUGCAAUUAGGUUCUAACUUCUAAGGUCAGGUGGUCUCAACCACUGUUUCUAGGGCAUCAGAGCGGAAUAAGAUAACUAUCAUAGUAUUAUCGGAAACUGUUUUGAUAUUAGUCUUGGUCAAAACUUAAGUUUACAACUAUCGGAAAUUUACUGACACACUGAUAUUGAUUACUAUAAUGUAGUUCUCAAGGUUGUUAGCGUUGACAACAAGUAAUGAUGAUGCAUACUCUAAUCCUCAUCUAUGUUAUGACGUGGGCUUGAAAAUGUUGGAUCGAUAACCUAAAUUGUGAUUAACUUAUGGAUUUACGAGGCAGUGUCAGGGGAGGACAAUGGCCCCUGCAUUGUAGUGCAGUUCAAUUUUAAACUCAAUUCAUAGAAUGAAAUUGUGAGAUGAAUUAGCUUGUUGUAGCUCUGGGAUCAGGUUAUGAAAUGAAAAAAUCAUGUCACUGUUGGGGGGAAUUUCCCUUGGGGUUGUAGUUUAGUUUUUAGCCUACUUUCUAGCAUCAACUGUGAAAUGUUGACGGUCAAUUAUUCUACUUUUGGAUUUAGCCGCUCACGUCUGAAUUUGUGAACAACCAUGCCCUUUUCUAGCGAAGACGCAGUAUUGUAUCAUGUUUUCCUCAAGUUGUUUAUUACUUAACUUGAUUUCUUUUUUCUUUCUGUCAAUUGUCUCAAUUCCAUGUAUUGAACUGAUGCGCUACUUAAUGUUACCUUCUUAAGAGAUCUUUUAAAUGCUCUAUUGUGUUUGUAGGGGAAGAUGUUUCUCCUGGAUUAAGAAAAGGUGGAAUUAAACUUUGAUCAUGUAAAUGGUAAUGGAUGCAGCUAUGAACCUCUCUACGUGUGUCAAUUGGCAAGUUUGAUGGAUAAUUAGGAUCUCAAUUGGUGAACUUAGGGAUGGAGUAAUGGACCUGAUUAGAGCUAGUUUUCCAGAAGGAUGAAGACAUGGAUGGUGAAGUCUCGCCUUCAUGUUUUGAAGACACGAUGGUGAAGUCUUACCUUCAUGUUUUGAAACUUUAGGAUUGUAAAGCCUGUAGUAGGAACAUGGGUUAAGGUUUUCCAACUUAGUGUUAGAUAUUUUUUUUCAGACUUGGAACUCGCAGUAUUUACGUAGUUGAAAUUGUAAACUGAAUUCACUUUCAAUACCAGAGUUUUAAAGUCCUAUCAAUUUAAUUUUGUGAAAGUCGGUUUUGAAG
Long non-coding RNA from Papaver somniferum (opium poppy), 2478 nucleotides. RefSeq lists it as uncharacterized. NCBI's taxonomy places the organism in Eukaryota, Viridiplantae, Streptophyta, Magnoliopsida, Ranunculales, Papaveraceae. The transcript has 6 exons. The record is from RefSeq and is a predicted model, not a curated record.